CAACUCUUUUAGCUAUGUUACAUGUAAAUACCACAGAAGAAGAUAAUGCUACAUGCUAAUAAUAUAGCACUAGUGACUUUAAAGCUAAGGAUAUAACAGCUUCCAUCUGGAAUGCCAGCCUGCUCCCACACGCCACCAAAUGUGUCCUGUUUGAUGUUUAAUGGAAUUUUCUCGUGCUUCUCCUCCAUUUGGAACUCGGGCGACUCGGGCGUGUGUCAAUGGGAUGACUUCUGUUUUGUUUGAUCAUCCGUUUUACUGCCGUGUACAAACAUUGUUUGAAAACAAUGAAGUGGGAUGACUUCUGUUUUGUUUGAUCAGCC
Molecule: long non-coding RNA, 320 nt
Organism: Entelurus aequoreus (snake pipefish)
Lineage: Eukaryota; Metazoa; Chordata; Actinopteri; Syngnathiformes; Syngnathidae
Exons: 4
Source: RefSeq, a predicted model, not a curated record